UACAGCCAUAUCACAUUAAAACACAGGUUUUCAUAUGAUCACCAAAGUUAAGCAAUGUUGAGCCUGAUCAGUACCUAGAUGGGUGGCCACUUGAGAAUACCAGGUGCUA
Acanthosepion pharaonis is the source of this 109-nucleotide non-coding RNA. The record is from the annotation of a GenBank genome assembly. NCBI's taxonomy places the organism in Eukaryota, Metazoa, Mollusca, Cephalopoda, Sepiida, Sepiidae.